RNAcentral lists this transfer RNA (73 nucleotides) under Gloeobacter violaceus SpSt-379. RNAcentral describes it as "tRNA-Phe". It matches the Rfam family "tRNA". Rfam says of the family: Transfer RNA (tRNA) molecules are approximately 80 nucleotides in length. The record is from RNAcentral. Lineage: Bacteria; Bacillati; Cyanobacteriota; Cyanophyceae; Gloeobacterales; Gloeobacteraceae.
GCCCACAUCGUAUAGCUGGUGCGUACGCUCGCCUGAAGAGCGGGAGGAGGCGGUUCGAUUCCGCAUGUGGGUA